AUGUGUGAACUUUCUCUCGAGCCCUCAUCACUGUUGGAGCAAUGGCUGAGCAGUCGUAAUGCAGUGUGUCAGGAAGAAGUCAGAAGAGGUAACAACAAAGGCAAAAUGGAGCUGGAUGGACUUCUCUUUUGGCUGAAAUCAAGGCAGGUGGUAUCUGCACAUCCAUGGCCUUUCCUUGACUACAAGAUGGGAAAAGCUCGGCCACAUCCAGGCUGCUCCCACCCAUCUGCUCUGAGAGUUCAGCAGUUUUACCAUCCAGGAGGAGCUGAGAGCUGCUCUGGAAGUCUUUUGUCUGUGGAUAUGAAGGUGGUUCUGUGUGCUCUCUGGAAGUCUGUAGAUGGACAGAACUGCUGGCACAGUGCUUUUCCCUCUGUUUGGCAUUGGAUAGCCAAUGACAGAAGUCUAAAAGCAGGCAGGUUAUUCUCCAAAUGCACCACAAAACAACAGCGACAACAACGAGGGAAGAUGUUGGAGCUCUGA
RNAcentral lists this long non-coding RNA (480 nucleotides) under Phasianus colchicus (ring-necked pheasant). RNAcentral's name for it is "lncRNA (ENSPCLG00000000421.1)". Lineage: Eukaryota; Metazoa; Chordata; Aves; Galliformes; Phasianidae. The record is from RNAcentral.